This 1293-nucleotide long non-coding RNA is filed under the name Helicoverpa zea (corn earworm). RNAcentral's name for it is "uncharacterized LOC124645006, transcript variant X2". The record is from RNAcentral. Lineage: Eukaryota; Metazoa; Arthropoda; Insecta; Lepidoptera; Noctuidae.
UCGUAUUUCAACGUCAAAUUAGUAUUCUUCAAAGAUUUAACUUUUUUCCUAUCUAAUGCUAUUAUUUAUUUAUUUUAGAUAAGUUGAAGCAUUCAUAAGCCAACUCCUGUAAGCUUAGCGGGACCGUUUCAGGAUUUUUAUAAAUUUUUAGAAGCUCAUCCGACAACACAAGGGGCUGAAUGUUGAAAGACGAACACUCUUAACAAAUAAUGUACUCUGUGACGAACACUAAAAACAGAUGUGGUCACUUCACCACAUCUUUUGUUAUUUGAACCUUUUGCUAUUGACAAUAAUCACAAUAUGCUGAGCUGACCAUUUUGAGACGAUGAAGAACCAAGGUACGAAGAUUAACUUGGACAUCAAGAGUAUUUUCAUUGUGCACACGAUUACAUGAAUGUCUCCCCCAUGCUUCCCCCAUGCGUUGCCUUAAGAGACUAACUACAUCUGUGUAAGGGAUGCAAUAGCUGCUACCAAGAGGACAAUCAUGUACAUUCCAUUCACAAUUGAGAGCUAAAGAUGGUGAAACUAAUGUCAAAUCCAACGCAUUAGGAUGCCAAGUCAAAGAGCCAACAGUAGUUGCUUGAACAUCACUGAGCAGAACCAAAUUAUUAUCAUCAAUAACAUAUAAAAUGCUGCGUCCAUGCACAGAGUCCGAGCCACAGCCACAAGAGGUGUGAUGAGCAUUAUAAUCACCAGCCAAUAUGAAAAUUUCAGGAAUGGAUUUUAUUAAUAGAUCCAAUUUUUCCUUUGAGAAUUGCGGAUUACAAUUCAAAGGACUAUAAAGACUGACUAAACAUAAGUUAUUUACUUUUAUUUUAACACAAAUAUUUUGUAAUGAGUUAUCACAGAAAAUUUUAAUGUUAAUACUUUUAUGAAUGAUUAUUUCAAAACCAUUAUGUUUGUUGCCAAUAUAAUUUCUUUCAAUAUUAUAAAGUUUUAUUUUAAAAUCUUGUUGAGGUUUUAACCAUGUUUCACUAAUGAUUGCCAGAUGUAUAUUAUGUCUAUAAAGAAAGUCAAUAAAUAUAGGUUUAUUACUAUUUAACCUUUGUGCAUUCCAUGUAAUUAUCAUAUCAAAAUAUCCACUAACAGGCAGGAGAAAAUUCAUCAUGUAAAGUUGAUUUGAGAGCUUCUAUCGACAUUGAAUUGUUGGGUGUAUGUUUAUUGCUUAAAAUGUUUGUAAGUGUUCCACUAAUGUAUUUAUUUUGUCUGAUUUUAUAAGAUUAUUUAUUUGCGUGUCAAUGUUGCGUUAGAGCUGGGAAUGAAUUCACAUUAAAAAGGUCUGAGUAUGUGGCA